ACUCAAAGAACAACUUUAUUGAAAAUCUGAAAAAAACAAAUCAAACCCAUAUGGGUUAGAAUUCAAAUUUGAGAUCUAAAUCAGUCAUGUCCACCCUCGACAAAUUUGUUGUUCAUGUUCUUUUCUAUACGAUUAUACUCUUCUUCAAAUCACUGGGAAAACAAAUGAAAGAAGCACAAAUGCCUUCUUAAGACGGUCCGAUUGUUUUAGAGGAUUUUUGUUGGGCAAGUUCUGACCUCCAUAACAAUAAUUAGCAAAGGUAGUAUAUGUUAGCAAGAUCUGACCUUCUGGAUUUUGUUUCAGGUCGGAAAAAAAUUUACUUAUAAAUCAACU
Molecule: long non-coding RNA, 333 nt
Filed under: Nicotiana tabacum (common tobacco)
Lineage: Eukaryota; Viridiplantae; Streptophyta; Magnoliopsida; Solanales; Solanaceae
Description: long non-coding RNA (NTAB_LNC014295)
Source: RNAcentral